AGAUGAGCACGGCGUUAACAAAGGCUGCAAAAAGCGGCGUGCCCAUCCCAUCCAUCCCAUCCAUCUCAUCCCAUCCCAUCCCAUCCCGCCCCGCCGUGCCCCGAGGAACGGCCGCUCACCUCUCAUUGUCCACGCUCCUGAAGCCAGGAGGAUAAUCGCAGCCUGACUUCUAUCCAUUCUGUUAUUUGUCCGUGCUAUUUAAACGCUCCUUCCCCACCCAGCGCAUUCACAGGACACAUCCUGUCCUCCUCGGGUUGCCGGAUGCCCCGGGGCAGUCUGUGCGGCACUUGUUGUGGAGAGCAUGACUGCAUUAAACUACUACAAGGGCCAUAAAAAGCUGAGGGGGAGUUCAGGCAUCAAAUGUGUUUCCUGGAAGCCCGAGAACUGAAGUAAUCCACUGAGUGGCCUCCUGGCACUGAUACAAGAAAGGAGGGAAUUUCAUGUACAGCACUGACCUUUACGGAUCAAAUAUUUUGUAUUUGUUCAGAGGGAGAGACUGAAACGUUCGCCCCCAGCCAGCACACGCCCCUGGUCCUUGAUGAGAGAACUACCAAAACGUUCAGCAAGCCAAAGCUCUCUGGUAAUGCAACCAGAAACUGGGAAUGUCUGCCUGCACCAGCACUAAUGACACCUGCAGUGCCCACAAGGAACAGCAGUGCACUGACAGUCUGAGUGCAGGAAUGCAACUGCCAAAAAGGAUCGUGCACACAGCUGCAAUUCAACAGCCAUCGUUAUUCAGGGAUCACCCCACUCUUCAGUUUGGAUUCUUUUGUUCUCCUAUUAAAACAAAACCACACUACUCUGGAUUAUUUGUUCACAUUUCCAUAAUUAUCAUACUGUCAACAUUUCAUAUCUAACCCAGACACAUAAAUAUUCCUUAGGAAGGUGGGAGAAGGGUAAUUGAGCAAUCAGGGAUGAAUGAUGCAGAAAGAGAGAUACAAGCAGAAUGCAAGUAACCUUGAAGAACAAAAACAGUUAUUUACCCAAAGAGAAGAACAACAAGAAACAGACUGCCAAGGUGAAGCCAAGCAAGGAUGUCACCUGGGGGAGAAAUUCAAUGGGAUAAAACAGUUUCCUUAUUUAACUGGUACAAUGGAGAGACUGCUCAUAUACAAAACUUCUUUGCCUGUUCUUUAGCAGGAACAACCCUGAGAGAGGCACAGCACGUCCUGUGAGGUGCUGAGCACUGCCAGCAUCACAUGGGGAGCAGAAGUGACACCAGGUGCUGCUGUGCCGGAGCUGUUUCCCUUCAUCACACAGCCUGGAGAAGCCCUGAGUCCUGUGGGUAGGGAUGCAGUUUCGCUCCUCAAACUGUCACUAACUAAAACAAGCUCACUCCCCCAGUUUAGGCUUUAAGAGCGAUUUUUGUUCCAAAAACUCAAAGCUGAGAUAUUUAUUUUAAUUUAUUUUACUGCAGUUAAUUGCUUGCGUGUUAAACCACGUAAAUCUGGACUCUGAAAGCCACUCAGAAUGGCUGGCUGUCCCAUACACACCGAGCUGCAUUCCGGCAAUUGCCAAACCAAUACUGAAAGGGCUUCUUUCUAAUGCACACUCGUGCUGAUGCAGGCAGGACCUGUGAACCAACGGCUGCAGGCUGCAUGCAUUUGUGGAACCUCACAUGUGAGGCUGGAGGAGCUGAGCGAUCGCCUUGUCUGUAGUUUAGGAAUGGCCCUUCUUAUCUGCAGAGUGGUGGGCAUGCCUGUGAUUCUUCUGGACACAGCUUCUCAAAAAGCACAGCCCCACAGGCCUGGCAUCCAACGCAUUGCCAAGGAAGCACCCAGAUUUCAACUAGAUACCCAGCAGCAGGUAUAAAGCCGCAGGUGAAAGAUAACUUCUGGACUCCUAAGAUGUCCCACAGCAAUUUUCUAUGUGUCUUUUUUAAGGACUCAUCCUCUCCGGGUUAACCUCACGAGAGUGAAGUGUCUGCAAACAGAACCCCCAACUCCAGGAGGUACACAGCUGAACUGCUAUUAAACACUGGGAACAUCUCCAGUGGGCUUUCCUUGCUUAUAUGAUAUAGGGAGUUUUAAGUAUUCGACUUUCAUUAAAUGCAAUGAGUUUCACAUUUA
Gallus gallus (chicken) is the source of this 2069-nucleotide long non-coding RNA. RefSeq lists it as uncharacterized. The transcript is spliced from 4 exons. Lineage: Eukaryota; Metazoa; Chordata; Aves; Galliformes; Phasianidae. The record is from RefSeq and is a predicted model, not a curated record.